AAUUUUGGACAAUGGAGGCAAUCGUGAUCCAGCCAUGCCGCGUGUGUGAAGAAGGUCUUGGGAUUGUAAAGCCCUUUAAGUUGGGAGGAAGGGCUUUAGCCUAAUACCCUACAGUUUUGACGUUACCAACUGAAUAUGAACCGGCUAACUAUGUGCCUGCAGCCGCGGUAAUACCGAGGGUGCAAGCGUUAAUCGGAAUUACUGGGCGUAAAGCGCGCGUAGGUGGUUCAGUAAGAUGGGUGUGAAAUCCCCGGGAUUAACCUGGGAACUGCUUUCAUAACUGCUGAGCUAGAGUACGGUAGAGGGUAGUGGAAUUUCCUGUGUAGCGGUGAAAUGCGUAGAUAUAGGAAGGAACACCAGUGGCGAAGGCGACUACCUGGACUGAUACUGACACUGAGGUGCGAAAGCGUGGGGAGCAAAC
RNAcentral lists this ribosomal RNA (421 nucleotides) under uncultured bacterium. Its description in RNAcentral is "partial 16S ribosomal RNA". It matches the Rfam family "Bacterial small subunit ribosomal RNA", at positions 360 to 773 of the family's 1533-position model. The record is from RNAcentral.